This 303-nucleotide ribosomal RNA is filed under the name Triticum aestivum (bread wheat). RNAcentral describes it as "partial small subunit ribosomal RNA". Lineage: Eukaryota; Viridiplantae; Streptophyta; Magnoliopsida; Poales; Poaceae. The record is from RNAcentral.
AUGGAUUUGGUGUCCAGCACAUGUGGAGUUGAGAUCAGAGUAAUGACAUCCUGUAUGCGCUUGGACACCCAGCAGAUUGAAAAUAUAGAAGCAAAGAUAUCCAAUACGAGGCCACGAUGCCCGACAGAGAUGCAGCCAAUACGUGCCCAAUCUUUAUUUCUUGAUAACGAGGACGGAUCCAAGGUUGAGUACUGGGUGUGGAACCCCUUCAGAUCCAAGUUGGCUGCUGUUGUACUCUGUGGUGUGGACAACAUCUGGAUUGUCCGAGGAAUUACAGCUUGGGGACUUGGGAGGCGACCGUAA